This 82-nucleotide transfer RNA is filed under the name Candidatus Halobeggiatoa sp. HSG11. Its description in RNAcentral is "tRNA-Tyr". It matches the Rfam family "tRNA". Rfam says of the family: Transfer RNA (tRNA) molecules are approximately 80 nucleotides in length. Their secondary structure includes four short double-helical elements and three loops (D, anti-codon, and T loops). Further hydrogen bonds mediate the characteristic L-shaped molecular structure. tRNAs have two regions of fundamental functional importance: the anti-codon, which is responsible for specific mRNA codon recognition, and the 3' end, to which the tRNAs corresponding amino acid is attached (by aminoacyl-tRNA synthetases). tRNAs cope with the degeneracy of the genetic code in two manners: having more than one tRNA (with a specific anti-codon) for a particular amino acid; and 'wobble' base-pairing, i.e. permitting non-standard base-pairing at the 3rd anti-codon position. RNAcentral also lists the same sequence under 2 other names. The record is from RNAcentral. Lineage: Bacteria; Pseudomonadati; Pseudomonadota; Gammaproteobacteria; Thiotrichales; Thiotrichaceae.
GGAGGGGUGUCCGAGUGGUUAAAGGAGGCAGACUGUAAAUCUGUUGGCUACGCCUACGGUGGUUCGAAUCCACCUCCCUCCA